Molecule: long non-coding RNA, 1299 nt
Filed under: Sarcophilus harrisii (Tasmanian devil)
Lineage: Eukaryota; Metazoa; Chordata; Mammalia; Dasyuromorphia; Dasyuridae
Description: lncRNA (ENSSHAG00000026734.1)
Source: RNAcentral
CAGACAGGGCGUCCGCAUAAAUGGGGAGGCCAUCCCGGGUUUCCUCCGUCCCAAGCCCGGCGGCGAUCGGGCUCCCGAAGGGCCGCCCCCCCCCGCCCCCGUCUCUCUCCGCAUCCCUCCACAAACACGCGCGGCCGCUCCCCAGGUUCGCCGAGAGCUCCGUGCCCGGACCCCGCAGCCGGGAGCCGGGCUGCGCUGCUCCCCCCUACACCCGCCCAGCGAGGAGCCUCCCCCGCAUCCUGGGCACCUCCGGAGAGAGUCGCGAGUUGGGAAGAAGCUCGGGGCUCGCUCUCUAACCGGGGGGAAGGCGGGGAAAUGGUCCAGGGGCAGGAGGAGGGGAAAGGGGGCACGUAGGCUCGGUCCGAAGCCCCGCCGGCCGAGGGAGCCGCUCCCGCUCCUCCACAUCGGAACCGGGUCAGCCAGAAUGGGGACCCGGGGCCCGAGCCCGCCGGGCGGGACGUCUGGAUCCCCCCGAACGCCGCCCGCCCUUUAGCCGGGGUCUCACGCCGUGCACAGAGGAGCGCGGUCUGAUCCUGGGCCAAACUUCCUCUCCUGGCAGAGGAAGGCGCCCGCUGGCGAUCCCGCGGGACCCUCCGAACGUCGGGGCUCUGCCCCCGGCCGCGACGGCUCUGGCACACACACACACACACACACACACACAGGGCCAGCUCUGGGACGCAGACCCACAGCCGCCCGCCCCCCGAGGACCCCUGUCCUGCGCUCUGCUCCCGAUCUCGGGGAAGCACCGAGCGGGCCGGGUCCGGUUCGCGGGCCGGAGGGUUCCUGGAGCCGCCGCCGCCCGCUGGGAUCGGAAGCCGCACGUGAGCCUCCCCCUCCGUGCCAGCGCGCAGUGGUGCGGUCCGCUGCGUGCCGGGCAUAAGGAUGUGGCAGAAGGCAUCCUGGGCUGGGAACAGGAGAAACAGCAGUCACUGAAAACGGUACCAGGGAAACCAGGGAAACGGACAGAAGGAAACCACACAAAGCUGGAGGCAAAUGAUGCUGGGGCAUCAUGGUCAAGCUGGAGAUGUUUCUAAGAGGAAGAGGGAGGGUGAGCGUAGCCUGCCUGCGACAACUGUGCUGAUGGGGGCUGGAGACCACAGACUUGGGGAUUCUCAGAGCUUCGUGGCUAAUAUACGGGAUUAUUUACCCUCUAAGGGAAGAGGGAGGGGGAAAGUUGGAUCACAAGACUUUGCAAGGGUGAAUGUUGAAAUUAUUUAUUCAGGUGUUUUGAAAAUUAAAAAAAAAAAAGCUUUAAUAAAGAAAUUUUUAAAAGGAAAAAUAAAAGAAUUAUCAGUGCUA